UAAUACGUAGGAUGCAAGCGUUGUUCGGAAUUACUGGGCGUAAAGAGUACGUAGGCGGUAUGGUAAGUCUGAUAUUAAAGACUGAGGCUUAACCUCAGGACUGUAUCGGAAACUGCCAAACUAGAGGACAAUAGAGGAAGUCGGAAUUCUCAGUGUAGCGGUGAAAUGCGUAGAUAUUGGGAAGAACACCAGUGGCGAAAGCGGACUUCUGGGUUGUUACUGACGCUGAGGUACGAAAGCGUGGGGAGCAAACGGGAUUAGAUACCCCGGUAGUCCACGCUGUAAACGAUGGAUACUAGGUGUAGCCGGUCUCGACCCCGGCUGUGCCGUAGCUAACGCAAUAAGUAUCCCGCCUGGGGAGUAUGGCCGCAAGGUUG
RNAcentral lists this ribosomal RNA (377 nucleotides) under uncultured bacterium. RNAcentral describes it as "bacterial SSU rRNA". It matches the Rfam family "Bacterial small subunit ribosomal RNA", at positions 521 to 896 of the family's 1533-position model. The record is from RNAcentral.